Molecule: ribosomal RNA, 621 nt
Filed under: Serratia marcescens
Lineage: Bacteria; Pseudomonadati; Pseudomonadota; Gammaproteobacteria; Enterobacterales; Yersiniaceae
Description: bacterial SSU rRNA
Rfam family: Bacterial small subunit ribosomal RNA
Source: RNAcentral
GGGUGAGUAAUGUCUGGGAAACUGCCUGAUGGAGGGGGAUAACUACUGGAAACGGUAGCUAAUACCGCAUAACGUCGCAAGACCAAAGAGGGGGACCUUCGGGCCUCUUGCCAUCAGAUGUGCCCAGAUGGGAUUAGCUAGUAGGUGGGGUAAUGGCUCACCUAGGCGACGAUCCCUAGCUGGUCUGAGAGGAUGACCAGCCACACUGGAACUGAGACACGGUCCAGACUCCUACGGGAGGCAGCAGUGGGGAAUAUUGCACAAUGGGCGCAAGCCUGAUGCAGCCAUGCCGCGUGUGUGAAGAAGGCCUUCGGGUUGUAAAGCACUUUCAGCGAGGAGGAAGGUGGUGAACUUAAUACGUUCAUCAAUUGACGUUACUCGCAGAAGAAGCACCGGCUAACUCCGUGCCAGCAGCCGCGGUAAUACGGAGGGUGCAAGCGUUAAUCGGAAUUACUGGGCGUAAAGCGCACGCAGGCGGUUUGUUAAGUCAGAUGUGAAAUCCCCGGGCUCAACCUGGGAACUGCAUUUGAAACUGGCAAGCUAGAGUCUCGUAGAGGGGGGUAGAAAUUCCAGGUGUAGCGGUGAAAUGCGUAGAGAUCUGGAGGAAUACCGGGUGGCGAA